RNAcentral lists this ribosomal RNA (497 nucleotides) under uncultured bacterium. Its description in RNAcentral is "partial 16S ribosomal RNA". It matches the Rfam family "Bacterial small subunit ribosomal RNA", at positions 28 to 507 of the family's 1533-position model. The record is from RNAcentral.
GAUGAACGCUGGCGGCGUGCCUAAUACAUGCAAGUCGAGCGAACAGACGAGGAGCUUGCUCCUCUGACGUUAGCGGCGGACGGGUGAGUAACACGUGGAUAACCUACCUAUAAGACUGGGAUAACUUCGGGAAACCGGGGCUAAUACCGGAUAACAUGUUGAACCGCAUGGUUCAACAGUGAAAGACGGUCUUGCUGUCACUUAUAGAUGGAUCCGCGCCGCAUUAGCUAGUUGGUAAGGUAACGGCUUACCAAGGCAACGAUGCGUAGCCGACCUGAGAGGGUGAUCGGCCACACUGGAACUGAGACACGGUCCAGACUCCUACGGGAGGCAGCAGUAGGGAAUCUUCCGCAAUGGGCGAAAGCCUGACGGAGCAACGCCGCGUGAGUGAAGAAGGUCUUCGGAUCGUAAAACUCUGUUAUUAGGGAAGAACAAAUGUGUAAGUAACUAUGCACGUCUUGACGGUACCUAAUCAGAAAGCCACGGCUAACUACGUG